Molecule: non-coding RNA, 210 nt
Organism: Oryza glaberrima (African rice)
Lineage: Eukaryota; Viridiplantae; Streptophyta; Magnoliopsida; Poales; Poaceae
Source: Rfam
AAAGAUCGCAGUUUUGCACGGUUUAUGUCCAAAGUUUGACCGUCCGUCUUAUUUUAAAAGAUUGUAUGAUUACUAUUUUUUUGUUGUUAUUAGAUGAUAAAAUAUGAAUAGUACUUUAUGAGUUACUAUUUUUUAAAUAUUUUUUUAUAAAAUUUUCAAAUAAAAGGAAAGGUUAAAUUUUGGAUACACAAACCUACGACUACACUUAAA